RNAcentral lists this long non-coding RNA (212 nucleotides) under Mytilus galloprovincialis (Mediterranean mussel). Lineage: Eukaryota; Metazoa; Mollusca; Bivalvia; Mytilida; Mytilidae. The record is from RNAcentral.
CCAGGUUUAAUCCACCAUUUUCUACAUUUGAAAAUGCCUGUACCAAGUCAGGAAUAUGACAGUUCUUGUCGAUUCGUUUUAAUGUGUUUUGUCGUUUGAUUUUGCCAUGUGAUUAUGGAUUUUCCUCUGAGUUUAGUAAUUUAGAUUUUACUUUUCACUCGUCGAAACUAACCUAUUUCUUACCGUCCGGCUACAUCUGCAGCAGAUUAACA